RNAcentral lists this unclassified non-coding RNA (25 nucleotides) under Mus musculus (house mouse). Its description in RNAcentral is "oocyte_clustered_small_RNA9179". The record is from RNAcentral. Lineage: Eukaryota; Metazoa; Chordata; Mammalia; Rodentia; Muridae.
UGCUGCACAUUUGUUAGAUUGGUGG